Molecule: ribosomal RNA, 44 nt
Filed under: Synura curtispina
Lineage: Eukaryota; Synurophyceae; Synurales; Mallomonadaceae
Description: partial 28S ribosomal RNA
Source: RNAcentral
CGGACCUCCAAUCAGUCAAGACUACCCGCUGAAUUUAAGCAUAU